UAGGGAAUAUUGGACAAUGGACGCAAGUCUGAUCCAGCCAUGCCGCGUGCAGGAUGACAGCCCUCUGGGUUGUAAACUGCUUUUAUAUGAGAAGAAACCCUCAGAUGCGUUUGAGGCUGACGGUAUCAUAUGAAUAAGGAUCGGCUAACUUCGUGCCAGCAGCCGCGGUAAGACGAAGGAUCCAAGCGUUGUCCGGAUUUACUGGGUUUAAAGGAUGCGUAGGCGGACACUUAAGCCAGUGGUGAAAUCCCAUAGCUCAACUAUGGAACUGCCAUUGGAACUGUGUGUCUUGAAUUCGGUUGAGGUAGAUGGAAUAUAACAUGUAGCGGUGAAAUGCUUAGAUAUGUUAUAGAACACCGAUUGCGAAGGCAGUCUACUAAGCCGACAUUGACGCUGAGGCAUGAAAGCGUGGGGAGCGAACAGG
This 424-nucleotide ribosomal RNA is filed under the name uncultured bacterium. RNAcentral describes it as "bacterial SSU rRNA". It matches the Rfam family "Bacterial small subunit ribosomal RNA", at positions 355 to 776 of the family's 1533-position model. The record is from RNAcentral.